This 465-nucleotide ribosomal RNA is filed under the name uncultured bacterium. RNAcentral's name for it is "partial 16S ribosomal RNA". It matches the Rfam family "Bacterial small subunit ribosomal RNA", at positions 338 to 795 of the family's 1533-position model. The record is from RNAcentral.
CCUACGGGAGGCAGCAGUGGGGAAUAUUGCGCAAUGGGCGAAAGCCUGACGCAGCGACGCCGCGUGAGGGAUGAAGGUCUUCGGAUCGUAAACCUCCGUCAGCAGGGAAGAACGGUCACUGUGCUAAUCAGCAGUGAAUUGACGGUACCUGCAAAGGAAGCACCGGCUAACUCCGUGCCAGCAGCCGCGGUAAUACGGAGGGUGCGAGCGUUAAUCGGAAUUACUGGGCGUAAAGCGCUCGUAGGCGGUAUGUCAAGUCAAGGGUGAAAUCCCCGCGCUCAACGUGGGAACUGCCUUUGAAGCUGGCAAACUGGAGUGUGUGAGAGGAUAGUGGAAUUCCAGGUGUAGGAGUGAAAGCCGUAGAUAUCUGGAGGAACAUCAGUGGCGAAGGCGACUAUCUGGCACAUAACUGACGCUGAGGAGCGAAAGCGUGGGUAGCAAACAGGAUUAGAUACCCUUGUAGUC